This is a non-coding RNA of Nicotiana tabacum (common tobacco), 1029 nucleotides long. NCBI's taxonomy places the organism in Eukaryota, Viridiplantae, Streptophyta, Magnoliopsida, Solanales, Solanaceae. The record is from RefSeq and is a predicted model, not a curated record.
GCUUACAUUGGAGGUAGGUUUAUACAUUAAAAUACUUAAGAUACUUAUCUGGUCCGCUUGUCUCCUAAUGUGUUGAUAUUUAUAAUAGGUUCUCGAUGCAAAUAGCUGCCAUGAACAAGCUACAUAAACGCCAUGAAUGCCAUUUCAAAGUAAAGAUUCCUUUUUUUUCUAUUUAAAUUUAUACUGCUUAUUUCUGUUCUGCAACUUGCUAUCUCUAUAAUAUCCAUGGUAUAACAAGAGAAACAUGUAGUAGUUAACUUCUUGGUUUUAGUCAUGUUGCUCGUUUGUUAGGAUAGCGAUGUUAACCAAUUCUAAAACUUCUAACUUCUUUAAUAUGAUUGGAGCUAUGAUGUAAUGUGUUGGUGAAUACAAUACGAGUUGCUUAUUUUCCCUUUUCUUUUCUUUAUCCACUUUCAUUCACAUUGUAUUUCUGCCUUGUUUUUAUUCUAUUGUUCAUCUUUUUCUUCCUUCUUGAGUUCGAUCAAUAGCAUAUGCAGAAUUGAGUUUGUCCAACAUUCUCCCAGUGAUGUGAACAAGCUUUUGGUUAUGAAGAUUACGACGAUGGUCCACUACCCAAGGCGAGAAAGAUCAGAAGCACCAAAGCUGCUAUUACUUCUCCUAGUUUGACUCUAUCAAGUACCAAAGCGGGAAGUAGAAAGGAAAUAGACAUACAUAUGAUAGAGAACUGUGAGAAACUCAAAAUUGGAGGCAUGGAUACAUCUGAACCUCAUUCAAGUGUUAAAGGAAAAAUCCAUCAAGGUAGUGCAGUAUACAAGGCAUAUAGCUCAGGAGACUAGUGGCGAGGUAGUAUAUGGCAUGAGAAGGCAAACAACUAUUCUUUGAACGCUUGACUAGAGAUUAAGUAGUUGUUCAGAUAUCUGGCAUGUGAAAAAUUUCAUCAUGAUCAAGAGUUGGAGAAACUUUCAUGGCGCCAUUUAUAUAUAGUAUUAUAGCUAUUUUAUAAUGCCAGUUAUUAGACGACAAAUUACGCUAGUUAUUAAAUUCAAAUAUGUUACCUUUUUGGUUAUG